GACGAACGCUGGCGGCGUGCUUAACACAUGCAAGUCGAACGGAAAGGCCCUGCUUUUGUGGGGUGCUCGAGUGGCGAACGGGUGAGUUACACGUGAGUAACCUGCCCUUGCCUUUGGGAUAACUUCAGGAAACUGGGGCUAAUACCGGAUAGGAGCUCCUGCUGCAUGGUGGGGGCUGGAUAGUUUCGGCGGUUGGGGAUGGACUCGCGGCCUAUCAGCUUGUUGGUGGGGUAGUGGCUUACCAAGGCCUUGACGGGUAGCCGGCCUGGGAGGGUGACCGGCCACAUUGGGACGGGGAUACGGCCCAGACUCGUACGGGAGGCAGCGGUGGGGAAUAGUGCACAAGGGGCGGAAGCCUGAUGCAGCAACGCCGCGUGCGGGAUGACGGCCUGCGGGUUGUAAACCGCUUUCGCCUGUGACGAAGCGAGAGUGACGGUAAUGGGUAAAGAAGCACCGGCUAACUACGUG
Molecule: ribosomal RNA, 468 nt
Filed under: uncultured bacterium
Lineage: Bacteria
Description: partial 16S ribosomal RNA
Rfam family: Bacterial small subunit ribosomal RNA
Source: RNAcentral